This 253-nucleotide ribosomal RNA is filed under the name uncultured bacterium. RNAcentral describes it as "partial 16S ribosomal RNA". It matches the Rfam family "Bacterial small subunit ribosomal RNA", at positions 524 to 776 of the family's 1533-position model. The record is from RNAcentral.
GACAGAGGGUGCAAACGUUGUUCGGAAUUACUGGGCGUAAAGCGCGCGUAGGCGGCUCGGCAAGUCGGGUGUGAAAGCCCUGGGCUUAACCCAGGAAGUGCACUCGAAACUUCCGAGCUGGAGUCCUGGAGAGGAAGGCGGAAUUCUCGGUGUAGAGGUGAAAUUCGUAGAUAUCGAGAGGAACACCGGUGGCGAAGGCGGCCUUCUGGACAGUGACUGACGCUGAGACGCGAAAGCGUGGGGAGCAAACAGG